UACGAAGGGGGCGAGCGUUGUUCGGAUUUACUGGGCGUAAAGGGCGCGUAGGCGGCCCACCAAGUCAGGCGUGAAAGCCCCGGGCUCAACCUGGGAACGGCGCUUGGGACUGAUGGGCUGGAGUUCGGGAGAGGAGAGUGGAAUUCCCAGUGUAGAGGUGAAAUUCGUAGAUAUUGGGAAGAACACCGGUGGCGAAGGCGGCUCUCUGGACCGACACUGACGCUGAGGCGCGAAAGCUAGGGGAGCGAACGGG
RNAcentral lists this ribosomal RNA (253 nucleotides) under uncultured bacterium. Its description in RNAcentral is "partial 16S ribosomal RNA". It matches the Rfam family "Bacterial small subunit ribosomal RNA", at positions 524 to 776 of the family's 1533-position model. The record is from RNAcentral.